Molecule: ribosomal RNA, 163 nt
Filed under: uncultured Lysobacteraceae bacterium
Lineage: Bacteria; Pseudomonadati; Pseudomonadota; Gammaproteobacteria; Lysobacterales; Lysobacteraceae
Description: uncultured Xanthomonadaceae bacterium partial 16S ribosomal RNA
Rfam family: Bacterial small subunit ribosomal RNA
Source: RNAcentral
CAUGGGCGAAGCCUGAUCCAGCCAUGCCGCGUGUGUGAUGAAGGCCUUCGGGUUGUAAACCUCUUUUCUUGGGGAAGAAGGGGAUUGGUCUCCUACGGGAUUGUCUUGACCUUUCCCAUGCAAUAACCCCCGGUUACAACUGUGCCCGCAGCCGCGGUAAUCA